Molecule: ribosomal RNA, 693 nt
Filed under: uncultured Rhizophagus
Lineage: Eukaryota; Fungi; Glomeromycota; Glomeromycetes; Glomerales; Glomeraceae
Description: SSU rRNA
Rfam family: Eukaryotic small subunit ribosomal RNA
Source: RNAcentral
UGUUAGGGCACGACACCGGAGAGGGAGCCUGAGAAACGGCUACCACAUCCAAGGAUGGCAGCAGGCGCGCAAAUUGCCCAAUCCCGACACGGGGAGGUAGUGACAAUAAAUAACAAUACGGGGUUCUUUAGGAUCUCGUAAUUGGAAUGAGUACAAUUUAAAUCUCUUAACGAGGAACAAUUGGAGGGCAAGUCUGGUGCCAGCAGCCGCGGUAAUUCCAGCUCCAAUAGCGUAUAUUAAAGUUGUUGCAGUUAAAAAGCUCGUAGUUGAAUUUCGGGGUUAGUAGGUUGGUCAUGCCUCUGGUAUGUACUGGUCUCACUGAUUCCUCCUUCCUUAUGAACCGUAAUGCCAUUAAUUUGGUGUUGCGGGGAAUUUGGACUGUUACUUUGAAAAAAUUAGAGUGUUUAAAGCAAGCUAACGCUUGAAUACAUUAGCAUGGAAUAAUGAAAUAGGACGUUCGAUCUUAUUUUGUUGGUUUCUAGGAUUGACGUAAUGGUUAAUAGGGAUAGUUGGGGGCAUUAGUAUUCAAUUGUCAGAGGUGAAAUUCUUGGAUUUAUUGAAGACUAACUACUGCGAAAGCAUUUGCCAAGGAUGUUUUCAUUAAUCAAGAACGAAAGUUAGGGGAUCGAAGACGAUCAGAUACCGUCGUAGUCUUAACCAUAAACUAUGCCGACUAGGGAUCGGAUGAUGUUA